This 440-nucleotide ribosomal RNA is filed under the name uncultured bacterium. RNAcentral describes it as "partial 16S ribosomal RNA". It matches the Rfam family "Bacterial small subunit ribosomal RNA", at positions 338 to 795 of the family's 1533-position model. The record is from RNAcentral.
CCUACGGGAGGCUGCAGUAGGGAAUAUUGCUCAAUGGGGGAAACCCUGAAGCAGCAACGCCGCGUGGAGGAUGAAGGUUUUCGGAUUGUAAACUCCUUUUGUUAGAGAAGAUAAUGACGGUAUCUAACGAAUAAGCACCGGCUAACUCCGUGCCAGCAGCCGCGGUCAUACGGAGGGUGCAAGCGUUACUCGGAAUCACUGGGCGUAACGAGUGCGUAGGCGGGAUAGCAAGUCAGAUGUGAAAUCCUAUGGCUUAACCAGAGAACUGCAUUUGACACUGGUAUUCUAGAGUAUGGGAGAGGUAGGUGGAAUUCUUGGUGUAGGGGUAAAAUCCGUAGAGAUCAAGAGGAAUACUCAUUGCGAAGGCGACCUGCUAGAACAUAACUGACGCUGAUGCGCGAAAGCGUGGGGAGCAAACAGGAUUAGAUACCCGAGUAGUC